This 411-nucleotide ribosomal RNA is filed under the name uncultured bacterium. RNAcentral's name for it is "bacterial SSU rRNA". It matches the Rfam family "Bacterial small subunit ribosomal RNA", at positions 355 to 774 of the family's 1533-position model. The record is from RNAcentral.
UCGAGCAUCUUCGGCAAUGGGCGAAAGCCUGACCGAGCGACGCCGCGUGUGCGAUGAAGGCCUUCGGGUUGUAAAGCACUGUCGUGGGGGAGAAAAGCCGCAAGGCUUGAUCGACCCCAGGAGGAAGCUCGGGCUAAGUUCGUGCCAGCAGCCGCGGUAAGACGAACCGAGCGAACGUUAUUCGGAAUCACUGGGCUUAAAGGGCGCGUAGGCGGGUCAGCAAGUCAGGGGUGAAAUCCCACGGCUCAACCGUGGAAGUGCCUUUGAUACUGUUGAUCUCGAGGGAGGUAGGGGCGUGCGGAACUUCCGGUGGAGCGGUGAAAUGCGUAGAUAUCGGAAGGAACACCGGUGGCGAAAGCGGCGCGCUGGACCUCUUCUGACGCUGAGGCGCGAAAGCCAGGGGAGCAAACG